This 4954-nucleotide long non-coding RNA is filed under the name Homo sapiens (human). RNAcentral's name for it is "HSALNT0327509". Lineage: Eukaryota; Metazoa; Chordata; Mammalia; Primates; Hominidae. The record is from RNAcentral.
AGUCGCUCGUUCCCUGUGUGUGGUUGCUGUGGCUCCUAAAGUGUCCUGUCAUCCUCCUUCUGAAAGAACACUUGCUAGUGUCGACAUCUGGAUGAGGAAACAGAGGCUCCGAUGUGGCAGUUGGGAGCGGUCCUUUGUCAGAAGCAGCAAAGGAACUCAACAGCCUGUGCGAGGAGGAAGGGGUACGAUUCCCCACUUCAGACAAGCAGCAGCCACAGACCAGCCCCUGCGCUACUACAGGAUUUCUUCAAGAUACAAGAGGUCCCCUUCGUCUCACUCUGGUGACUCCACUGUGGCUGCAUAUUCUGGGGCAGAGUACAUCAAUUGUUUCCGAAGGUGCAUGCUGGCUCCACAGAAAUGGCAUUCCGCUUUGUUGCCCAGGCUGGUCUCAAACUCCUGACUUCAGAGGAUCCUCCUGUCUCAGCCUCCCAAAGUGCUAGGGUUCCAGGCAUGAGCCACUGCGCCCUGCCCGGAGCCUUAUGUUAACAUGUCUAUUACAGGACCUGACAUGAAGAAGAGACUUAAUAAAAGGUGAUUGUCCUUCCCUUUUCUAUGAAGCAGGAAGGGGAGCUAUUAUUAUCUUCAUUGUACAGAAGAGAAAGCUGAGGCCCAGAGAGAUAAAGUGGCUUGCCCAGAGUUUCACAAAUACAGGAUUGGAGCCCCAACUUGUGCCUAGCUCUUUAACAUACCACCUCACCAGCCCACACAGGAAGGCAAUGACUGUGCACUGCAGAUAUUUGUGCAGGAUGUGUAUAUUACAUGAUUUGGGGCUGACGCAACUUGUCUUGUACAUAUUGUUUUAUGUGACUUUACUCUGCCUUUCUGCCUGUGCUGAUCAUGCCCCAAGAGCUGGGCCAGGCCUUGUGCCCUUGCAGAAUCUGCCUCUGCAGCUCAGUGAUAGUUGCUCAGCAAGUGCUGAUCCACUAGCCCAUUUCCUUCCUUCCUUCCUUCCUUCUUUCCUUCCUUCCUUCCUUUCUUUCUCUUUCUUUCUUUCUUCUUUUUUUUUUUUUGACAGAGUCUCGCUCCGUCACCCAGGCUGGAGUGCAACGGUGAGAUCUCACCUCAUUGCAAACUCUGUCUCCCGGGUUCAAGCGAUUCUCCUGCCUCACCCUCCCAAGUAGCUGAGAUUACAGGUGUGCGCCACCAUGCUUGGCUAAUUUUUGUAUUUUCAGUAGAGGCGAGGUUUCAUCAUGUUGGCCAAGUUGGUCUCGAACUCCUGACCUCAUGAUCUACCCACCUCGGCCUCCCAAAGUGCUGGGAUUACAGGCAUGAGCCACCUUGCUCUGCUGACCAUUUUCAAGUGCUUGCAAAUCUGUCCACCCAGAGAGGACAUAGUAGCACAUUUAAUAAUUAAGAGAAAAGCUUGGUUUUCAGGAACUUUGUCAUCUGAGUUUGAUAAUUAUGAAGGGUAUAAGAAUUCAUUUUAUGGUAUGGUAGGAAAAGAAUAACACUACCUAAAAUGCUCAGAUGAUUUAUUAAGGGUUCUUAUUUGUAGGGACAGCCUCCCAUUUUUCUCUCAUGUGAUGUCCAGCAGGUGGUUCUGACCUGACUAGUACACAUUCUUUAACUAAAGACAGAGCACUGCUAGGCGGCAGACACAGACCUGUGCCCCAGGCUGUAAUGGUGAGACAGGCAUAAUCCCUGAUCAUGGAACCUAUGGGCACAAGGCAGUCAACAGUUAAAUACACACAAUAUUUAUAAGUUACAAUGAAUUAAACGAAGGAAAAGACGAGGAACUAAGAGACAGCCUAAUUGGAGGAUCUCAUUUAGAUUGGGAGGCUGGGGAAAGUCUCCAUGAAGAAGUGUUAUCUACACUGAAACCUGAGAAAAGUUGGUAGAAUUCAGGCCAAAAGUGGGAGAAGGAGCAUUUCAGACAGAGGGAUCAACCUUGUGGAAGCCCUGUGGUGGGAGAGAGCUUAGAAUUGAAAUGAGGUUAGGGGCCACCACAGGGAAACUGGAGACACAUAAGUGAUGGGAGCUUGGCCAGGACCAACUUCCUGUAGGCAUUCCAAUUGCAAUUGCCAUUUAUAAGUUUUCAGCAGAUAAAUCAUAUGGUCGAACUUAGGUCCUAACACAUCUGUCUACUGCUAAAUAGAAGAAUGGGUGCCACUUAAGAAUGGGUUCAAUGUAACGAGGGCAAAAGUAGAAGUGAGGAGACCAGCUGUGAGGCUAUUGCAGUGGUCCUGGUGUAGGAUGUGGGUGGCUUGGACUUGGGUAAUGGCAGUGAAUUGACAGACAUGAGUGAAACUGUGAGAUGUUUUAGGAGUAGAAUUGUUAGGACAUGCGGAUCAACUGUAUAUACAGAGUGAGAAAGGGAAAGGGUACUCUCGUGUUUCAGGGUGUCUGAAUUGGUUUACUGAUAUCUGGGGGGAUCAGAAGAGUUCAGGUCCAGCCAGGUUGCAAUUGAGAUGCCUCUGAGACAUCCAAUAGGAGGAUGUCAUUGGAUACAGGAGUUAGGAGCUUAGAUACACACUUGGGAGAACUCGGCACAGGUGGUAUGAAAGUGGUGGGCUGGUGAGAUUGCCUAGGGAGAGAAAACACGGAGAGGAGUCCCAGGGCUGAGCCCAGACCUCUGAACAGAAGAAGGAGUCAUGGAGAAACCCAGAAGAAUGAGGUGUCACAGGCAAAGAAAAAUUGGAUGCUCCGGAAGGAGAGAGGUCUGUCUCACGAAGAGAGAUAAAAGCAGCUGGGACCACAUAGAGGUAAUUGUUGAUGCUGAUGAGAGAAGAGGGCGGAGGGUGGAAAAGGAAGGGAGCCACUGAGCUGAGAAUGGGAGACAGGAAAGAAACAGCAUUCUGUGGUCAGCCUGGUGAGAAAUGUGGCUCUCAGAAAGCAGAGAGAGAACAGUUGGAGGAGCUCAUGGGCACACGGGGGAUGUCUGACUGGUUGUGUUUUCUGUUGGAAAAUAUUAGAGCUCCUCUGUGUGUUAGGGAAGGGUCAAGUAGAGAGGGCAAGGGAGAAGAUGCUGGAAUGAGGAGAGCCAAGGUCCUGAGGACACCUGACCUUGGCACUACACAGGACCUGCAGCCCAGACGCUUCCUAAGCAAGCCUCUUGCCUGGGGAAUAAAGAGCUGAUUUUUCCAGUGACUUCAUGGGCACUGGGGUCCUAUGGAACCUCUAAGGGGAAGGAGCAAGAGAAACAGAUGUUCUUUCUUCCCUGUAGAGGGAGGAAGAGGGAAGACAAAGAUGAAAAAGGGAAGAAAGGAGGAAGGAAGGGAGAAAGGAGAAAACAAAGAUGGCCAGUCUUCUCUUCUCCCCAGGUGGUUGGGAUAACAGCGAGGCCAAAUCCCAGAUGAUAUGGGGGAGGGCUGCAACCUCUCAGGAGGGCUGUCUCCCCCAGAAAAAGCCUAGGACUUACCUAGACUUAGGAGGUUGUCAUCAAGCCUUGUCUUUCCUGCAGACCUCAACGUCUUGUCAGUCCAGAAAAACUUCAAGGGCAGCAGCCAGAAUCCCAGGGCUGAGAAACCUGACUUUCCUCUCUUUGUACCUCCCAAUUCCCCUCCUAGGUCCUGAGCCACAGGGAAUUGUGUGAUUUCAAUGAGCUAUGGCAAGAGCAUUUUCCCUUCCCAUCAACUCAGUCACGUUUCCUGUAGUGGAGACGGGAGCAUGGGGAGGGAGGAGCGGGAGAAAGAAGGCUUACCCUGGCAGUAUUCAUUCACUCUCUGAGGCAUGAGAUUUGAUUACCAGUCUUUUAACAUGCAUGACAGCAAAUGCUAAUAUUUGCCACAGAAUUUUCUAGCCACCUUUUAAAUCCAUCUACAGUGUUAGGCUCUUUGACCCCUAGAGGUAGGGAAUGCCACAGGCUGCCUUCAUGCUACUGAACGUUGUUGCCUCCUCUAUAGCAAUAAAGCUUUUCUUGAAAUAUAAGGCAUAAGAACAAAGAAAAUUCCAGAUUUCUGGGAGUAAAUACUACAGUUCAUUAAACCACCUGCUUACUUCAUACAAGCUAGCAAUGACUCUCCAGUCUCCCGCCUAAAACUCCAGUUAGUCUUCUGUGCAUGAGAUGUCUUUUCUAUUGUGAUUGCCAUUCUUGGCUCAUUGUUUGAAAAGGGAUAUUACAAAUAAAAAUAACAACCAUCCCUGGUUAAUAUGCUUAUUACUUUACACAUCUUUCUCAACUUUUUCCAAACUUACUGGUAGACCAGAAAGAAAUCUAACUUCUUUUAGGCUUGAGUUCCAUUGUCUAAAAGUAGUAACCAUUUUCUUUCUUUCUCCCUUUUUCUUUUCUUUUCUUUUUUUUCUUUUGAGAAGAAGUUUUGCUCUUGUUGCCCAGGCUAGAGUGCAGUGGUGCAAUCUCGGCUCACUGCAACCUCUGCCUUCCAGUUUCAAGUGAUUCUCCUGCCUCAGCCUCCCAAGUAGCUGGGAUUCCAGGCGCCUGCCACCACACCCUGCUAAUUUUUGUAUGUUUAGUAGAGACGGGGUUUCACCAUGUUGCCCAGGCUGGUCUCAAACUCCUGACCUCAUGAUCUGCCCACCUCGCCCUCCCAAGGUGCUGGGAUUACAGAUGUGAGCCACUGCGCCUGGCCAGGUAUGACCAUUUUCUAAUGUUUAGGAGGAGGGGAGCUUGGGGGCAGUAUCUAAAACUGUCAGCUAGAGGAGGGGCAAUCUUGAAGUUCAAAAGCAGGAGACACCCCAGAUCUCCUUCUGCAGAGCUUUAACAUCCCACCUCUCACUGCUUCUUGUAAUAUUCAUCAGAGUCGUAAAAACUAUUAUCCAGCAUAAUAUCUUUUAAAUUGUUGGCAAAGAGUCACUUUAGAAGAGUGGCCUCCCUCUGCUCCCUUCCCGCCCCCUCCCAGAUGGACCAGUGCUGUUUGUUAGGACGGCUUUGUUCCUCGUUGUUCAACUACACCUGGCAUAGUGCUUUGCUCUGUCAUAAGGCCAUUUCAAAACACUCCCUCUUUGUAACGUAAGCUUUGCUCGUGCUGAAACCUUGCCUUUCAUUUGCUCUCCACAG